GAUGAACGCUGGCGGCGUGCCUAAUACAUGCAAGUCGAGCGAACGGACGAGAAGCUUGCUUUUCUGAUGUUAGCGGCGGACGGGUGAGUAACACGUGGAUAACCUACCUAUAAGACUGGGAUAACUUCGGGAAACCGGAGCUAAUACCGGAUAAUAUUUUGAACCGCAUGGUUCAAAAGUGAAAGACGGUCUUGCUGUCACUUAUAGAUGGAUCCGCGCUGCAUUAGCUAGUUGGUAAGGUAACGGCUUACCAAGGCAACGAUGCAUAGCCGACCUGAGGGGGUGAGCGACCAAACGGGACGUGAGACACGUCCAGGCCUCCAGGGGGGGGCGACGGGGGGAAUCCUUCCGCAAGGGGGGAAGCCCUGACGGAUCAACGCCGCGGGAAGAAUGAAGUUCUUCGGAUGUAAAACCUUUUUUAUGGGGGAAAAAAAUAUGUUAAAGUAACUGUGAACAUCUGGCGGUUACCUAAUCAGAAACCCAGGCAAAACACGGUC
Molecule: ribosomal RNA, 497 nt
Filed under: uncultured bacterium
Lineage: Bacteria
Description: partial 16S ribosomal RNA
Rfam family: Bacterial small subunit ribosomal RNA
Source: RNAcentral